AUCCUUGCACAGCAAUCUGAAUGGUUGAUGUUGGUCCUUUUUCUGAAG
Molecule: small nucleolar RNA, 48 nt
Filed under: Euglena gracilis
Lineage: Eukaryota; Euglenozoa; Euglenophyceae; Euglenales; Euglenaceae
Description: partial Eg-m57 box C/D methylation-guide snoRNA
Source: RNAcentral